RNAcentral lists this unclassified non-coding RNA (353 nucleotides) under soil metagenome. Its description in RNAcentral is "partial contains 5.8S ribosomal RNA, internal transcribed spacer 2, and large subunit ribosomal RNA". The stretch from base 1 to 119 matches the Rfam family "5.8S ribosomal RNA", at positions 35 to 154 of the family's 154-position model. The record is from RNAcentral.
GAUGAAGAACGCAGCGAAAUGCGAUAAGUAAUGCGAAUUGCAGAAUCCGUGAGUCAUCGAAUCUUUGAACGCACAUUGCGCCCGCCAGUAUUCUGGCGGGCAUGCCUGUCCGAGCGUCAUUUCAACCCUCGAGCCCCUCCGGGGGGUCGGCGUUGGGGAUCGGCCCUCCCUCGCGGGGGCCGGCCCCGAAAUGCAGUGGCGGUCUCGCCGCAGCCUCUCAUGCGCAGUAGUUUGCACAACUCGCACCGGGAGCGCGGCGGGCCCACGCCGUAAAACAGCCCAACCUUCUGAAAUGUUGACCUCGGAUCAGGUAGGAAUACCCGCUGAACUUAAGCAUAUCAAUAAGCGGAGGA